CAGUAGCCACGGUAAUACGAAGGGUGCAAGCGUUAAUCGGAAUUACUGGGCGUAAAGCGUGCGUAGGCGGUUUGUUAAGUCUGCUGUGAAAUCCCCGGGCUCAACCUGGGAAUGGCAGUGGAUACUGGCAAGCUAGAGUGUGUCAGAGGAUGGUGGAAUUCCCGGUGUAGCGGUGAAAUGCGUAGAGAUCGGGAGGAACAUCAGUGGCGAAGGCGGCCCCCUGGACAAAGACUGACGCUCAGGUGCGAAAGCGUGGGGAGCAAACAGGAUUAGAUACCCCGGUAGUCCCUGUCUCUUAUAA
Molecule: ribosomal RNA, 301 nt
Filed under: uncultured bacterium
Lineage: Bacteria
Description: partial 16S ribosomal RNA
Rfam family: Bacterial small subunit ribosomal RNA
Source: RNAcentral